UGUGGAUCUCCUGAACUGGCUUCGUGAGUUAUUGUGCUUGACAGUGUUGCCGGGAAGGAGUGCUAGACCAAUGUUUCCAUCUAAACCAAUUUACAUCUUUGAGAGAAAGCAAGGCCAGGGAGUUCCUGGAGAAACUGGCAAUUUCAAGGGGCCAACAGUGCACUGAGAUUUGAGCUGGUGACCAUUUGACUGCAGGCAUGGCAUCCUAACCCGUUCAGCCGAACACCACCUCCUGUAAUUAGUGAUGCAGCAAUCUUCCUCUCAUUACAAAGCUGCUUGGGUUUAAAUGCAUCUUUAAUUGGAUGGAUGCAGCAAUGCAUGUCGGCUGAAGCGUGCCAGGCUAACGCGAGGCUUCGACACUAACCAUCUUGGGUCCGACGCAGAGCUGUGCAGUUCUCUGCCUGAGCUAACUAGGUGAGCCUUGUUACGCAGGUCCACAGCCACUAUCAGUCAUCCGGUCAGCGAUGUAGUCUUGAUGGUUAAUUAGUGGCCAUAUCAGGAUAUAAUGAACAUCAUGUUUGGAAUUAUGACUCAUUAUCGAACCAUGAGUUACAGUACUGGCACGUGGAGGAACAUAUGGCUUCUGGGACGUUUUCUGAUGGUUGUGUCUGAGUUUCUUGAUGCAUUUCCAGGGAGAGAGUAAUAGCAUCUCAUCAAGCCUGUUCCUGAUUG
Paramormyrops kingsleyae is the source of this 672-nucleotide long non-coding RNA. RefSeq lists it as uncharacterized. Lineage: Eukaryota; Metazoa; Chordata; Actinopteri; Osteoglossiformes; Mormyridae. The record is from RefSeq and is a predicted model, not a curated record.